AGGAGUAUAGAAAUAUCAAGAAAUUACAUUGGACAAUCGCCGAACUAUUUUCUUAUUAGGAACCAGUGAUAAUCGCAAUCGAUAGGGUGCAACGUGACGAAUAGCGAAUUCUCCUUAUUACUUCGUUGAAGAAGAGAGAAUCGUUUUCUUUCGAUAUUCCGGUGAGAUCGUCUUUUGUACGCCGAGAAUGAGCGACCGAUCCUUAAGAAGAAAGGUCGAAAAAAAGAAGACGAAGAAGAAGAAGAAAAA
Molecule: long non-coding RNA, 249 nt
Filed under: Polistes fuscatus (common paper wasp)
Lineage: Eukaryota; Metazoa; Arthropoda; Insecta; Hymenoptera; Vespidae
Description: uncharacterized LOC122526439
Source: RNAcentral